AACGAACGCUGGCGGCAUGCCUAACACAUGCAAGUCGAACGAGACCUUCGGGUCUAGUGGCGCACGGGUGCGUAACGCGUGGGAACCUGCCCUUAGGUUCGGAAUAACUCCCCGAAAGGGGUGCUAAUAUCGGAUAAUGUCUUCGGACCAAAGAUUUAUCGCCUUUGGAUGGGCCCGCGUUGGAUUAGCUAGUUGGUAGGGUAAAAGCCUACCAAGGCGACGAUCCAUAGCUGGUCUGAGAGGAUGAUCAGUCACACUGGGACUGAGACACGGCCCAGACUCCUACGGGAGGCAGCAGUGGGGAAUAUUGGACAAUGGGCGAAAGCCUGAUCCAGCAAUGCCGCGUGAGUGAUGAAGGCCUUAGGGUUGUAAAGCUCUUUUACCCGGGAUGAUAAUGACAGUACCGGGAGAAUAAGCUCCGGCUAACUCCGUG
This 433-nucleotide ribosomal RNA is filed under the name uncultured bacterium. RNAcentral's name for it is "partial 16S ribosomal RNA". It matches the Rfam family "Bacterial small subunit ribosomal RNA", at positions 29 to 507 of the family's 1533-position model. The record is from RNAcentral.